RNAcentral lists this ribosomal RNA (2903 nucleotides) under Klebsiella quasipneumoniae. RNAcentral describes it as "23S ribosomal RNA". It matches the Rfam family "Bacterial large subunit ribosomal RNA". The record is from RNAcentral. Lineage: Bacteria; Pseudomonadati; Pseudomonadota; Gammaproteobacteria; Enterobacterales; Enterobacteriaceae.
GGUUAAGCGACUAAGCGUACACGGUGGAUGCCCUGGCAGUCAGAGGCGAUGAAGGACGUGCUAAUCUGCGAAAAGCGUCGGUAAGGUGAUAUGAACCGUUAUAACCGGCGAUGUCCGAAUGGGGAAACCCAGUGCAAUUCGUUGCACUAUCGUUAACUGAAUACAUAGGUUAACGAGGCGAACCGGGGGAACUGAAACAUCUAAGUACCCCGAGGAAAAGAAAUCAACCGAGAUUCCCCCAGUAGCGGCGAGCGAACGGGGAGCAGCCCAGAGUCUGAAUCAGCUUGUGUGUUAGUGGAACGGUCUGGAAAGUCCGACGGUACAGGGUGAUAGUCCCGUACACCAAAAUGCACAGGCUGUGAACUCGAAGAGUAGGGCGGGACACGUGGUAUCCUGUCUGAAUAUGGGGGGACCAUCCUCCAAGGCUAAAUACUCCUGACUGACCGAUAGUGAACCAGUACCGUGAGGGAAAGGCGAAAAGAACCCCGGCGAGGGGAGUGAAAAAGAACCUGAAACCGUGUACGUACAAGCAGUGGGAGCACCUUCGUGGUGUGACUGCGUACCUUUUGUAUAAUGGGUCAGCGACUUAUAUUCUGUAGCAAGGUUAACCGUAUAGGGGAGCCGCAGGGAAACCGAGUCUUAACUGGGCGUUAAGUUGCAGGGUAUAGACCCGAAACCCGGUGAUCUAGCCAUGGGCAGGUUGAAGGUUGGGUAACACUAACUGGAGGACCGAACCGACUAAUGUUGAAAAAUUAGCGGAUGACUUGUGGCUGGGGGUGAAAGGCCAAUCAAACCGGGAGAUAGCUGGUUCUCCCCGAAAGCUAUUUAGGUAGCGCCUCGUGAACUCAUCUUCGGGGGUAGAGCACUGUUUCGGCUAGGGGGUCAUCCCGACUUACCAACCCGAUGCAAACUACGAAUACCGAAGAAUGUUAUCACGGGAGACACACGGCGGGUGCUAACGUCCGUCGUGAAGAGGGAAACAACCCAGACCGCCAGCUAAGGUCCCAAAGUCAUGGUUAAGUGGGAAACGAUGUGGGAAGGCACAGACAGCCAGGAUGUUGGCUUAGAAGCAGCCAUCAUUUAAAGAAAGCGUAAUAGCUCACUGGUCGAGUCGGCCUGCGCGGAAGAUGUAACGGGGCUAAACCAUGCACCGAAGCUGCGGCAGCGACACGAUGUGUUGUUGGGUAGGGGAGCGUUCUGUAAGCCUGCGAAGGUGGCCUGUGAGGGUUGCUGGAGGUAUCAGAAGUGCGAAUGCUGACAUAAGUAACGAUAAAGCGGGUGAAAAGCCCGCUCGCCGGAAGACCAAGGGUUCCUGUCCAACGUUAAUCGGGGCAGGGUGAGUCGACCCCUAAGGCGAGGCCGAAAGGCGUAGUCGAUGGGAAACAGGUUAAUAUUCCUGUACUUGGUGUUACUGCGAAGGGGGGACGGAGAAGGCUAUGUUAGCCGGGCGACGGUUGUCCCGGUUUAAGCAUGUAGGCUGAUUAUCCAGGCAAAUCCGGAUAAUCAAGGCUGAGGUGUGAUGACGAGGCACUACGGUGCUGAAGUAACAAAUGCCCUGCUUCCAGGAAAAGCCUCUAAGCAUCAGGUAACAUCAAAUCGUACCCCAAACCGACACAGGUGGUCAGGUAGAGAAUACCAAGGCGCUUGAGAGAACUCGGGUGAAGGAACUAGGCAAAAUGGUGCCGUAACUUCGGGAGAAGGCACGCUGGUGUGUAGGUGAAGUCCCUGCGGAUGGAGCUGAGACCAGUCGAAGAUACCAGCUGGCUGCAACUGUUUAUUAAAAACACAGCACUGUGCAAACACGAAAGUGGACGUAUACGGUGUGACGCCUGCCCGGUGCCGGAAGGUUAAUUGAUGGGGUUAUCCGUAAGGAGAAGCUCUUGAUCGAAGCCCCGGUAAACGGCGGCCGUAACUAUAACGGUCCUAAGGUAGCGAAAUUCCUUGUCGGGUAAGUUCCGACCUGCACGAAUGGCGUAAUGAUGGCCAGGCUGUCUCCACCCGAGACUCAGUGAAAUUGAACUCGCUGUGAAGAUGCAGUGUACCCGCGGCAAGACGGAAAGACCCCGUGAACCUUUACUAUAGCUUGACACUGAACAUUGAGCCUUGAUGUGUAGGAUAGGUGGGAGGCUUUGAAGCGUGGACGCCAGUCUGCGUGGAGCCAACCUUGAAAUACCACCCUUUAAUGUUUGAUGUUCUAACGUUGGCCCCUUAUCGGGGUUGCGGACAGUGUCUGGUGGGUAGUUUGACUGGGGCGGUCUCCUCCCAAAGCGUAACGGAGGAGCACGAAGGUUAGCUAAUCCUGGUCGGACAUCAGGAGGUUAGUGCAAUGGCAUAAGCUAGCUUGACUGCGAGCGUGACGGCGCGAGCAGGUGCGAAAGCAGGUCAUAGUGAUCCGGUGGUUCUGAAUGGAAGGGCCAUCGCUCAACGGAUAAAAGGUACUCCGGGGAUAACAGGCUGAUACCGCCCAAGAGUUCAUAUCGACGGCGGUGUUUGGCACCUCGAUGUCGGCUCAUCACAUCCUGGGGCUGAAGUAGGUCCCAAGGGUAUGGCUGUUCGCCAUUUAAAGUGGUACGCGAGCUGGGUUUAGAACGUCGUGAGACAGUUCGGUCCCUAUCUGCCGUGGGCGCUGGAGAAUUGAGGGGGGCUGCUCCUAGUACGAGAGGACCGGAGUGGACGCAUCACUGGUGUUCGGGUUGUCAUGCCAAUGGCACUGCCCGGUAGCUAAAUGCGGAAGAGAUAAGUGCUGAAAGCAUCUAAGCACGAAACUUGCCCCGAGAUGAGUUCUCCCUGAGACUUUAAGUCUCCUGAAGGAACGUUGAAGACGACGACGUUGAUAGGCCGGGUGUGUAAGCGCAGCGAUGCGUUGAGCUAACCGGUACUAAUGAACCGUGAGGCUUAACCUU